Molecule: long non-coding RNA, 978 nt
Organism: Vigna angularis (adzuki bean)
Lineage: Eukaryota; Viridiplantae; Streptophyta; Magnoliopsida; Fabales; Fabaceae
Exons: 3
Source: RefSeq, a predicted model, not a curated record
GCCUGAAUUACCGAGGGUGUAUUUCCGAAGGCUUUGCGGCCGUCGGUAAAUGUGAUUUACCGAGGGUCAAAAAGUGAAUCACCGACGGCCUUAAUGAAAUAACGUUACCGAAGGUCAAGAAGACCUUAGCGAGGGCUCUGUGGCCUUCGGUAAGAGCGUCCACCAAUUAAACUCAGUAAUUGGAGUUAUUCGUGCAGCUCGUCCCCAAUUUCAUCAAACAGAACCCUCCCUCCCCUCUGAUGAGAACUACUGAAAAUUUGGUUGUACUCCCUUUGCCUUCCUUUUGGCUUGCUAUCGUUCAUUCUCUUCCUAUCCCUCUACCUAUCUCUUCUGUUCGGUGGCAUUGUGUGCCUAGGGUUCUUCGUGCCGUUGUGGGUGUUGCGGGUGGGGUGGUGGUUCUUGGUUGUGCGUGUAAGGGUUGUGCGACGGGUAGGGUGGUGAUUCGUGGUCAUUAGCGUGAGGAGGUCCUUGCAGUGAAGCCCAAGGUUGGCUGUUCGGUUGAGAGCUCCCGGUGUUGCUUGGCUUCCAUUGAAUUGGGUGUUCUGGAGUGCGAGGGUGAGUUUUUAAAGGAGUUAUAAUUGUGGCCAGAAGGGGAGGAAGAGAGUCUACAAAGAAGACGUGAGCAGGAAAGGAAAGCAAAGGCAAAUAACAUGGCCCAUUUUCUCAACCACCAUGGAUGGAUGUAGGACCGUUGUUAUAGCAGAAGGAGAGGUUUGAAGGAAGCUUUUGUCAUCGGAGUUGAAGAGUUUGUGGAGACGACUUGACGUUAUCAAUAUUAAUGUCUUGAUGGAGGGAUUUGAUGCCCAUGCAUCAAGUGCGAAUGUACAAGGAUUUUGAAAGAUGAAGUCGUCAAAGUUCACCUAUACCAAAAAGGGUUCAUGCCUAAUUACACGGUUUGGAUAUUUCAUGGUGAAGAAAUUCCUUCCACCUCCACUACAGCUGAAAAGCGGCUUGCAUCAGGUUUGAAUAAUAUUGUAC